UAAGACAGAGGCCUCGAGCGUUAGGCGGAAUCACUGGGCUUAAAGCGUGUGUAGGCGGAUCGUUAAGUGUCUUGUGAAAUCCCACGGCUCAACCGUGGAACUGCUGGGCAUACUGGCGAUCUUGGGCCAUUCAGGGGCGACUGGAACAAGCGGUGGAGCGGUGAAAUGCGUAGAUAUCGCUUGGAACGCCGAAGGUGAAAACAGGUCGCUGGGGAUGUGCCGACGCUGAGACACGAAAGCCAGGGGAGCAAACGGGAUUAGAUACCCCGGUAGUCCUGGCCCUAAACGAUGUCCACUAGAUUAUGGCGCCUUUGACGGCGUCAUGGUCGAAGCAAAAGUGUUAAGUGGACCGCCUGGGAAGUACGGUCGCAAGGCUA
RNAcentral lists this ribosomal RNA (377 nucleotides) under uncultured bacterium. Its description in RNAcentral is "bacterial SSU rRNA". It matches the Rfam family "Bacterial small subunit ribosomal RNA", at positions 521 to 896 of the family's 1533-position model. The record is from RNAcentral.